CUACGGGGGGCUCCAGUGGGGAAUAUUGCACAAUGGGCGCAAGCCUGAUGCAGCAACGCCGCGUGAACGAUGAAGGCCUUCGGGUUGUAAAGUUCUUUUCUUAGGGAAGAAUAAAUGACGGUACCUAAGGAAUCAGCCCCGGCUAACUAUGUGCCAGCAGCCGCGGUAAUACGUAGGGGGCAAGCGUUAUCCGGAAUCACUGGGCGUAAAGGGAGUGUAGGCGGUCAAGCAAGUCAGGGGUGAAAGGCAUCGGCUCAACCGAUGUAAGCCUUUGAAACUGUUUGACUUGAGUGCAGGAGAGGUAAGUGGAAUUCCUAGUGUAGCGGUGAAAUGCGUAGAUAUUAGGAGGAACACCAGUGGCGAAGGCGACUUACUGGACUGUAACUGACGCUGAGGCUCGAAAGCGUGGGGAGCGAACAGGAUUAGAUACCCUUGUAGUC
Molecule: ribosomal RNA, 440 nt
Filed under: uncultured bacterium
Lineage: Bacteria
Description: partial 16S ribosomal RNA
Rfam family: Bacterial small subunit ribosomal RNA
Source: RNAcentral